UACGAAGGUCCCAAGCGUUAUCCGGAUUUAUUGGGUUUAAAGGGUGCGUAGGCGGGUUAUUAAGUCAGUGGUGAAAGCCUUCAGCUUAACUGAAGAACUGCCAUUGAUACUGAUGAUCUUGAGUAUGAUUGAGGUGGGCGGAAUGUGUCAUGUAGCGGUGAAAUGCUUAGAUACGACACAGAACACCGAUUGCGAAGGCAGCUCACUAAGCCAUAACUGACGCUGAUGCACGAAAGCGUGGGGAGCAAACAGG
RNAcentral lists this ribosomal RNA (253 nucleotides) under uncultured bacterium. Its description in RNAcentral is "partial 16S ribosomal RNA". It matches the Rfam family "Bacterial small subunit ribosomal RNA", at positions 524 to 776 of the family's 1533-position model. The record is from RNAcentral.